This 268-nucleotide ribosomal RNA is filed under the name uncultured prokaryote. RNAcentral's name for it is "partial 16S ribosomal RNA". It matches the Rfam family "Bacterial small subunit ribosomal RNA", at positions 524 to 792 of the family's 1533-position model. The record is from RNAcentral.
UACGUAGGGGCAAGCGUUAUCCGGAAUUAUUGGGCGUAAAGAGCGCGCAGGUGGUUGAUUAAGUCUGAUGUGAAAGCCCACGGCUUAACCGUGGAGGGUCAUUGGAAACUGGUCGACUUGAGUGCAGAAGAGGGAAGUGGAAUUCCAUGUGUAGCGGUGAAAUGCGUAGAGAUAUGGAGGAACACCAGUGGCGAAGGCGGCUUCCUGGUCUGUAACUGACACUGAGGCGCGAAAGCGUGGGGAGCAAACAGGAUUAGAUACCCGGGUA